Molecule: ribosomal RNA, 254 nt
Filed under: uncultured bacterium
Lineage: Bacteria
Description: partial 16S ribosomal RNA
Rfam family: Bacterial small subunit ribosomal RNA
Source: RNAcentral
UACAGAGGUGCCAAGCGUUAGGCGGAAUCACUGGGCUUAAAGCGCGUGUAGGUGGGUCGUUAAGUGUCCGCGUGAAAUCCCACGGCUCAACCGUGGAACUGCCGGGCAUACUGGCGAUCUUGAGGCAUUCAGGGGCGAGCGGAACAAAUGGUGGAGCGGUGAAAUGCGUAGAUAUCAUUUGGAACGCCAAUGGUGAAAACAGCUCGCUGGGAAUGAUCUGACACUGAGACGCGAAAGCCAGGGUAGCAAACGGG